RNAcentral lists this ribosomal RNA (613 nucleotides) under Pseudacris hypochondriaca (Baja California treefrog). RNAcentral describes it as "partial large subunit ribosomal RNA". It matches the Rfam family "Bacterial large subunit ribosomal RNA", at positions 1783 to 2604 of the family's 2925-position model. Lineage: Eukaryota; Metazoa; Chordata; Amphibia; Anura; Hylidae. The record is from RNAcentral.
GCAAAAAUUAACCUCGCCUGUUUACCAAAAACAUCGCCUCUUGAGUAUACUUAUAAGAGGUCCAGCCUGCCCAGUGACUCUGUUCAACGGCCGCGGUAUCCUAACCGUGCGAAGGUAGCGUAAUCACUUGUUCUUUAAAUAAGGACUAGUAUGAAUGGCACCACGAAGGUUACACUGUCUCCUUUCUCUAAUCAGUGAAACUAAUCUCCCCGUGAAGAAGCGGGGAUUUAAGUAUAAGACGAGAAGACCCUAUGGAGCUUUAAACUAAAUAACACUUGCUCUUAUAUUACUAUAUUUGAGAAUACUAACACCUAUUUUAGCUUUAUGAUUUUUAGUUUUAGGUUGGGGUGACCGCGGAGCAAAACAAAACCUCCACAUUGAAUGGGGUUUCACACCCUGAGCAACGAGCUACAACUCUACGCACCAAUAAAUUGACAUAAAUUGACCCAAUAUUUUGAUCAACGAACCAAGUUACCCUAGGGAUAACAGCGCAAUCCGCUUCAAGAGCUCCUAUCGACAAGCGGGUUUACGACCUCGAUGUUGGAUCAGGGUAUCCCAGUGGUGUAGCCGCUACUAAAGGUUCGUUUGUUCAACGAUCAAAACCCUACGUGAU